UCUAAUUGAAACAUUUAUAAA
Molecule: non-coding RNA, 21 nt
Filed under: Caenorhabditis elegans
Lineage: Eukaryota; Metazoa; Nematoda; Chromadorea; Rhabditida; Rhabditidae
Source: RNAcentral